GGACCCGGGCGUGAGAAUAAUCACCAAGUGUGCUGGGAUCAAAUCUCACACAUAUGAUGACUCAUGGUACAGAAACGAAUACCACAUCUUUACUAUAUAAUAGGAGUUCUGUAGAAAAUAGUUAAAUAAUUACAUCAUGCAAAGACAACGAUCCAGCAACACAAAGAUGACCGGGAGACAAUGACCUAGACCACUCACGAACUCAUCACAACAUCCUUCAUGCGCCUCAUCCUGCGGUAGCUAUUCUUGACCUGGGGGAUGUGAGUACAACAAGGGUGAGCUCACAUACGUUCAUCGCUCAAAAAUUUGUGGGGAAUAAUGUGCAUGAACUCACCAAAGGUGGGAGCUCAUGUGAAGUGUAAGGCUUACCAAAGGAGAUGGUUAAAGCUAAGCAUUGCUUUUAAAGUUGGUCAAAUUUUUAUUAGUAGUUACUAAGUAUAAGUAGAUACCGACCCAAUAACUAAGAGAUCAAAAUUGAUAACAACACCCACAAUGCAAUGCAUAUGACAAAUUGAGUUUAGUUCCAUAGAUUAAUCAUGCGAGAGUCCUGGGCUGCUCAUGACUGCGAGCACGACUGAUAUACUAGUUUUACACUUUACAGAAGUUGCGCCCUUUACCCGCAAGUCGUGUAUCCCGUCUAGCCAGGGUUAGCUAGACCUUUAGACACUUCCAAGGUGAAUGGCUAGGGAUCCACUACGAGUCCUUUUCAAAGUUCCACUAGCUUCAGAAAAUCCGCUACAGUUUCUAGGAAGGGCAAUAUAGGAAUCCCUCGUCCUAAAAGCCAUCGCAACAUGAUCGACCCAAGAACCUCCCUAUACACAACUCCCCUACUGCUCUUGCCCCUUUCAGGUAAGGUAGUUCUCCACUAGCUUUCCUAAUUAGUCAGCCAAGGGCGUCCCAUUCCACCUUUGUGGUAGCACGUGUUUCUCAAGUUAAGCUCCAUGUUCCAAUUAACACAAUGAUAUUGUCAUGAGCAAUAAUUAAAACAACAGUAUAAUUGGAACAUGAUCAUAAUGUAAUAUUAAUCCCAAAACCAGAUAGAGAAAUAGCAAAACUACCCAAAAGUUUAGUGGUAAACAAGGUGUGAGAUAAACAAGUCUAGAGAAACCUAUUAGGUCCCAUCAAAUUAACCUGAGCAUGUCACAACGAUUAAUAGGAACAUUAUUGAGUAAAGAAAAGUGAUCAAGGGCACAACUUGCCCAAGACUCGAGAUUCCAGGUACCAGGAUGAUCUUCAGAUUCUCGUGACCUCACAGCUUUUCAUAGUAAUACAAACAAACAUGGUAUAGGCAAAAUUAACAUCACACCAAACAUAAGCACAAACUACAUAAUAAUAUUCUACGCGUCGUAAUGAGAUCAUAGGAUCGAGAAUCACUAAAUUCAGAGUUACGGUUAAGAAAAUAUGGUUUUCGAAAGAUUUUAAUGUUUAAAAUAAUUAACACUAGGCCUUAAAUUAAUUCUAUCAAUUAUGUGGGAAAGAUAAUCUAAGAAAUUAUUAAUUCAAUUUUAAUCUAAACUAUAACUUUAUCAUAGUUCAUCUACUGGUCAACUUAUAUUUAUAGUUAGAUUCCUUAGAUAAAAAGAUUAAUCUACUCUAUAUAGGAUAAAUAAUACCUAACUAUAAAAGUAUGAGAUUUGACAAAAUAAGGUUUUGUCAUUGUGUAGUAAAUUUUAUUGCGAAUCAAACGCAAUUUGAACGGGUCAAAUCGGAGUUAGAAUAAAUUAUUUAUGGAUUUUCUAUGAUUUUUGGAAUUACUUUUAUACUUAGAAAUCAGUUUUUGGAUUUUGUUAUUGUUGUUAACCGAAAAAUGGGCGGCGACAUUAAUUUCCCAAAGGUCCGAGUCUAUUUUAUAAAUAGUAGGACUAAUUUGUAAUGGUUUUUAUAUUGCAUAGGACAGCAGGUUGAUUAUUUAAGAACCUGAGGACUCUUGCGCAAAAAAGGACGUGGAUGAAGGGGUAUGGUUCAAUUCUGAACAUUGGAUGCAUACCCAAGAUCCCAAAUUAGAUCUUUAAAUAGCACCAAUAGGUAUGCAUUUGUAGCGGUUGGAUUAAAGAUCAACGAUAGAGCGCCCCAGAGCGACCGGGCCGUCUACCAAUCAACCGACGACGAGGAUGCAUCCCACGAAAAUGGGGGGAUAUGUUUUAAUCCUAAUCGUCCAACGCCGAUCCGACUGCCACGACCACAUCUCACAACAAUGCCCCGAUUCCCCACCGAAUCGGUAUCCACUGAUCUAAUAUUAAUCGUCGAUGCACGAUCCAAUGGUCCGAGGCGUGCUUCUACCCUUUGACCUCCAGAGCGGCGGCGCGAACCCGACCUACGGUGGUGCUCCGCCGGUGGAUGGCCAUCACCCGUACUAGCGCAAAAUCCCCAUGAAAAAUCAGUGUUACACGCAGAGGACACCAAGGCAAAAACAAUUGGAGUUGUCUUACCGUCGAUCGACACAUAGGGACGGUAGUCCAUGACGGAGCAUAGAUUUGGGCGGAGUUCCGCAAUGACGAGAAAUUCUAGGGCCCCUGAGGCUGGCUGCUCCGGCAACCACCCGGAUUCGGGACCAACGCGAGCACGCUGCUCGCACCAUACAAUUUUCGAGGGCUAGGGCGACCUAGUGGCAAAGUUGGGUGGUGGUGGUGGAAGCUUUUCUCCCUCCUUCGUCCUUUCUGUUUCGCUGCGAUUGCCCUCGGUGUCGUAUUCUAUGAGGGGAAUAGGGGAUCUCAGGCUUGGCUUUUAUGCACCACGGGUGGAGUCCGCGUGGGGGGUAAUCGAUUGGUGGAUCUCCCCGAAACGCAGAGUGGUCGCGACGCGCUGAGUCCGUCAGAGGAUAGGGAUGAUUUUG
RNAcentral lists this long non-coding RNA (2833 nucleotides) under Zea mays. Its description in RNAcentral is "long non-coding RNA (ZMAY_LNC001694)". Lineage: Eukaryota; Viridiplantae; Streptophyta; Magnoliopsida; Poales; Poaceae. The record is from RNAcentral.